UGGGUAUUGGUGGAGGAAUCUAACCACAAGGCCUCUGAGUUGGGUAUUGGUGGAGGAAUCUAACCACAAGGCCUCUGAGUUGGGUAUUGGUGGAGGAAUCUAACCACAAGGCCUCUGAGUUGGGUAUUGGUGGAGGAAUCUAGGUGAGUUAGUUGAGGGUCAAACACGUGGAACGGCUGGGGAUCAGGUGAGUUAGUUGAGGGCUACAACACGUGGAACGGCUGGGGAUCAGGUGAGUUAGUUGAGGGCUACAACACGUGGAACGGCUGGGGAUCAGGUGAGUUAGUUGAGGGCUACAACACGUGGAACGGCUGGGGAUCAGGUGAGUUAGUUGAGGGCUACAACACGUGGAACGGCUGGGGAUCAGGUGAGUUAGUUGAGGGCUACAACACGUGGAACGGCUGGGGAUCAGGUGAGUUAGUUGAGGGCUACAACACGUGGAACGGCUGGGGAUCAGGUGAGUUAGUUGAGGGCUACAACACGUGGAACGGCUGGGGAUCAGGUGAGUUAGUUGAGGGCUACAACACGUGGAACGGCUGGGGAUCAGGUGAGUUAGUUGAGGGCUACAACACGUGGAACGGCUGGGGGUCAGGUGAGUUAGUUGAGGGCUACAACACGUGGAACGGCUGGGGAUCAGGUGAGUUAGUUGAGGGCUACAACACGUGGAACGGCUGGGGAUCAGGUGAGUUAGUUGAGGGCUACAACACAAUUGCAAAAUGUCUGUGGGGGGUAAAGAGGACAGGUUUGAAAACCACUGGCCUAAUUUCUCUCUCAACAUCACUGAUUGGCCGGAAAGUCCUGCUGUCCAAAAAAACG
Oncorhynchus keta (chum salmon) is the source of this 816-nucleotide long non-coding RNA. RefSeq lists it as uncharacterized. The record is from RefSeq and is a predicted model, not a curated record. The transcript has 3 exons. NCBI's taxonomy places the organism in Eukaryota, Metazoa, Chordata, Actinopteri, Salmoniformes, Salmonidae.